GACCCUCUCCGCCAUUUAAAGAAACAGUACCGGGGGCGGGCCGAGCGACGCAGCCGGGACGGUAGCUGCGGUGCGGACCGGAGGAGCCAUCUUGUCUCGUCGCCGGGGAGUCAGGCCCCUAAAUCGAAGAAGCCCUGGCGCGCCCUCCCCCCCUCCCGGGUCUGUCCUGUGCCUCCUGAUUGCUGAGUGUUCACCUGGACCUUCUGACUACCUUCCCUGUGCUAUUCCAUCAGCCUACAGACCUGGUACCUGGAUUUUUGCCCGAGAUGAUUCCUACCACCUUACUACUGACGAAGACACCCAUUCCAGUGGACCACUGUGACCCAGGAGGCAUUCAGCCAUCAUGAUGUGGCCUUUACCUCCACUCCUGUCUUGUUCUACCCAGAUUCAGCA
Molecule: long non-coding RNA, 393 nt
Filed under: Homo sapiens (human)
Lineage: Eukaryota; Metazoa; Chordata; Mammalia; Primates; Hominidae
Description: non-protein coding TUG1:36
Rfam family: Taurine upregulated gene 1 conserved region 3 (bases 167-393)
About the family: TUG1 (taurine upregulated gene 1) is a long non-coding RNA expressed in retina and brain. It was first identified in a screen for genes upregulated by in developing retinal cells in response to taurine.
Source: RNAcentral